CAUUAGAGAAGUAAAAGUCGUAACAAGGUUUCCGUAGGUGAACCUGCGGAAGGAUCAUUAAAUAAUUUGAGUAUGCUUAUGCAUAUUUCUAAUUUACUGUGAACUGUUUUACUGUUUAGCGUUUUGAGGGAUUGCCUAAAGAUUAUAGGGAUAGGUCUUUAGGAUGUUAACCUAGCUAAAGUCAGGCUUAGGCCUGGUAUCCUAAUUCAUUAUUUACCAAAAGAAUUCAGAAUUAAUAUUGUAACAUAAGCGUAAAAAACUUAUAAAACAACUUUUAACAACGGAUCUCUUGGUUCUCGCAUCGAUGAAGAACGUAGCAAAGUGCGAUAACUAGUGUGAAUUGCAUAUUCAGUGAAUCAUCGAGUCUUUGAACGCAUCUUGCGCUCAAUGGUAUUCCAUUGAGCACGCCUGUUUCAGUAUCAACAACAACCCACAUCCACAAUUUUGUUGUGAAUGGAAGUGAGAAUUUCGGACUUGCGCUGAAUUCUUUAAAAUUAUUAGGCCUGAACUAUUGUUCUUUUAGCCUGAACAUUUUUUUUAAUAUAAAGGAAUGCUCUAGUUAUUAAGACUGUCUUGGGGGCCUCCCAAAUAAAUCAUUUUUUAAACUUGAUCUGAAA
Molecule: ribosomal RNA, 617 nt
Filed under: Rhizomucor sp. JJP-2009a
Lineage: Eukaryota; Fungi; Mucoromycota; Mucoromycetes; Mucorales; Lichtheimiaceae
Description: eukaryotic LSU rRNA
Rfam family: 5.8S ribosomal RNA (bases 270-422)
Source: RNAcentral